GACAAAAAGUAAGCUGUCUCGAUUAUAAUAAUUGAACUUAACUUUUAAGUGAAAAGGCUUAAAUGUUUCAGGGGGACGAUAAGACCCUAUAAAGCUUGACAAUAACUUCGUUAUAUUAUAAAUUGUUAGUAUAACUUGAUUUUAACGGGGGUUUGUUUCGUUGGGGCGACGGGAAUAUAAUAAAUAACUGUUCUUUUAAAUAUAAUUACAAAAAUGUUUGGUAAAUAAUUGAUCCUCUAUUAGAGAUUAAAAGAUUAAGUUACUUUAGGGA
RNAcentral lists this ribosomal RNA (271 nucleotides) under Penaeus japonicus. Its description in RNAcentral is "partial 16S ribosomal RNA". Lineage: Eukaryota; Metazoa; Arthropoda; Malacostraca; Decapoda; Penaeidae. The record is from RNAcentral.